AAAUACAUAACAAUGAGAUAUCAACGGAAAGAAACUAGCCAAUGAGAAGUUCCCCAAGUGGAAGCCAUCAUGUGACGUAUUCUUAAGGUUUUUUUUCAUCAUCGUACAUAGACGUUUACCUAAUUAAUUGCUUUCUGGAAAUAUAUUAACGAAUUUUCUAACGCAAUUACAAUGCACACUAAUUAAAUGUUUAUAUAAAUACUGAA
RNAcentral lists this long non-coding RNA (206 nucleotides) under Polistes fuscatus (common paper wasp). RNAcentral describes it as "uncharacterized LOC122518495". The record is from RNAcentral. Lineage: Eukaryota; Metazoa; Arthropoda; Insecta; Hymenoptera; Vespidae.